Long non-coding RNA from Musca vetustissima, 352 nucleotides. RefSeq lists it as uncharacterized. The record is from RefSeq and is a predicted model, not a curated record. The transcript has 3 exons. Lineage: Eukaryota; Metazoa; Arthropoda; Insecta; Diptera; Muscidae.
AUGUUGUUUUCUUUCAGCAAUUCAUCAAAUGGCAAAGUGUAUUUGAGUAAAAAUUGUAUUGGAGUCUACAAACGUUAUCAGCUAUGUAAUGAUGUGCCUUGUCCAUCCUCUGUUCAAGAUUUUCGUUCAGAACAAUGUUCGGCAUAUGAUGAGGUUGAUUUUCAGGGCCAGCAGUAUACAUGGGAGCCUUAUGUUAAAGACGAUGCUGAAUGUGAAUUGAAUUGCAAACCGGUGGGCAAACAAUAUUUUGCCACCCUAAAUGCCUCGGUUUUGGAUGGAACACCAUGCGAAAGACCAGCUGAAUAUUAUCGGUCAAAUUAUCGUGGUCGUGCCAUGUGCAUUGAGGGUAUUU